Long non-coding RNA from Anneissia japonica, 2449 nucleotides. RefSeq lists it as uncharacterized. NCBI's taxonomy places the organism in Eukaryota, Metazoa, Echinodermata, Crinoidea, Comatulida, Comatulidae. The record is from RefSeq and is a predicted model, not a curated record. The transcript has 6 exons.
AUGAUUUUUUUACUCUACAGAACAAAACUCGAUUGAAGAAAACCAAAGCGAAGGAAGAAAUGUGGCAAUUGAGGAUAACCUAAAACUGAAGAAGCUUAAAAUAAUUCUAUCAAAAACAAUUUCAAUAAAUGACCUACUAAAAAUGGGAAUUACAAAAAUUAAUUUGAGGAUGACCUAAAACUGAUUAAUUCUGAAGAACAAGUUCAAUAAAUAACCUACAAAAAAUGGGAAUUAACAAAAAUUAAUUAGUUUUAAAUGCGCUUAUAUAUACAUUUAAGAAAAUAACAAUUUUAUGUUAAAAAAAUUUAAAUUGGACAAAAUAUUUCAUGUUAAUUUUGAAUCAAAAUCUGAAGAAGGUUCAAGUAAUUCUCUCAAGAACAAGUUCAAUAAAUAACCUACAAAAAAUGGGAAUUACCAAAAAUUAAUUUAUUUUAAAUGCUUAUAUAUAUACAUUUAAGAAAAUAACAAUUUUAUGUUAAAACAUUUAAAUUGGACAAAAUAUUUUAUGUUAAUUCUGAAUCAAGACGAAUAAUCAGAGAAGAGGGCUUGCUUGUAGGUGGUAGCAGUGGAUCAAUCCUUGCAGGUGCCUUACACUUCGCAAAGGAUUUAAAACCUGAUGAGAGGUGUGUCGUUAUAUUGCCAGAUUCUAUCAGAAACUACAUGAGCAAGUUCUUGUCUGAUGGAUGGAUGGAGGAAAGAGGGUAUUUGUAAACAAUCAAAAAUCAAUUAUCUUUUUUUUCCCUUUCAGUAAAUGCUAAACAUGUCAAUAUCUUGUUUAAUGACUAUGUUACAUAAACUUGUUUUUAUAUUUCUAAUAUUAGGCAUAAUGUGGCAUGAUUAAAAUUGAUAAUGUUUCAAUAUUCGUUCUUCAUAUUUUGUCUUCUUAGUUUGAUAGAUAUAAAAAUAUGUUUUUUAUAAGUACUUGGAAUUUGUGUGUAUGAAAACCACUAGAUCCAGAUACUAUUAUCGUGUGUGUGUGUGUAUAUGCUUACCACUGAUGACAAACUAGUUUUGUUGCUCUCUCUGGCUGUUUACUUUUUAGCUUUUGGUUAUCAAUUCUUGUAUUGCAAAUGAUGCAGCUAUUAUUUCCUACAGCAAACCAACACCAUCAGUAUAAUUUUGUUCUAUGUAAGUUAAGGUGUUAAAAGUUUUGUUAUGGUGUAUUUAAUUUAAUUGUUUGAUUUUUUUCUGUUAAGUGUGAUUGCACCGUGUGCUGCCGCUAAUGCAAAGGUAAAAUGUCAUUUUUAUAAACAAUGUAGGGGAAAAUUCUGUUUUAUGUUAAAAAUAUUUGUGAUGUGCCUAAUGGGUGGUUAUGAUGAAGAUCAGAAAGAUCCAAAAUUGGCCUAAAACUAUUUGCCUUUCAUUUAAAAAGGUGUUUUUUUUUUUAUAUAUCAUAAGGUCACUUAGACAUCCUAAUUAUAUAUAUUUGUACAAAUACAGCAGGUUUGAAGUCUAGUUUUCCAAAGGCAGUUUUGAUAUUAGCCUAUGUUAUGCUUCUUACUGUAUGUAAACACCAAAGGCAGCUUUGAAUAUUAUGUUCAUCUUACUGUGUGUAAACACUGCCCUCUGGGUUUAGAUGACAUACUUUCAGUAAACAAACCAAAACAAGUUGACUAAUAAUAGGUGUAACUGUAUUCUUUAAUAUUUUUUUCUUUAUUUUUUUUUAACAUCUAGAAAUUCAAAAUAGAGGGGACCCAGGGAGGAAUGUUUACAGAUUGGAGACCUUAACCACAUUAUAUGUGGGGCUGCGGUACACAAUUGUAUGUCUAUGUAACAUUUAAAUGGCAAGUGGCACUUGCAAACUUAAAAAAAAAUGUUCAAAAAAUUUUCUUGGUUUUUGUUGUUGUGUUGAAAAUACUGGUAGCAGCCUCAGUCGUACCCUGUAACAUGAGUCCGGUACUCAUCUGUGUCAGUCAACUUGCUGAAAAGAUAAUCAUUUGGCUGUUUAAAUUAUUAUUCAAGAUGUAUUUGUCAUAAAUAAUAUACAAUAAUUAUAUCAAUUAUUUCAAUCUUAUAUAACGAUUAUACCUUAUUCUGGAAUAUGUUGUUAGUGGCCUUAUUAUUUAAGUAUAUGUGAACUUGUAAAUAUUCGUAGUUGCAUGUUGCGCUUACAUAAAUAACAGGGUGCCUAAAAUUGUUUUUGUUGGGUUAAAUUUUUUAUUUUGGUAAGUAUUUCAUCCUAAACUGUACAAAUAUAUGAGCUUUCAAUGGCAAUUAUAGCAAGGUUGAUCAUAUUAAUAUUAUGGUGUCAUAAUCUAAAACAAAAAUUAAAAACAUUGGACUGCCAUUCUGCCAAGACACACCCAUACGUGAACUUGUAUUAGGCAGUCUCCUGGCCGUUCUGAUUUUUUGCAAGAUUAAUCAAUGUAGAUAGAACUUCAUAGAAUUAAAAACUUAUUUUUGUAAUUGUCAUACAAUAUUCAAUAAAAAUGAUCAAAGUACUUUCCUA